This 2664-nucleotide long non-coding RNA is filed under the name Homo sapiens (human). RNAcentral's name for it is "non-protein coding lnc-SASS6-2:9". Lineage: Eukaryota; Metazoa; Chordata; Mammalia; Primates; Hominidae. The record is from RNAcentral.
ACUUGGCAGCUCUGUCCCUAAGGCGACGCACCUGGGCUGCUCUGCUGGCAGCCCCUGGUUCCUGCUUCACCGUCGCGUGGAGGCCUGGGGCACUGCUUUCUGCUACACCUCUCCUAGGAGCGCGAAACAGAUGGAGUGACACUCGUCGAGGGCCUCUGCGGGACUGUCUGUUUGCAGAGGGUGCCAAGGUGUCCACUGCGUAAGGAAGGGCAAAGUCCUUUGGGGCAAAGAACCCUGAGAGGAACGGGGAGAUGGAUUUUGAAAGCAAACGAACCCUCUCCUAAAAGUGACUGUCACUGACCUGAAAACAACCAGAUUAGCUAUGGCAAAGGCUGCCAACCAACCAGUGGUCUGCAAGAAGGCUUGUUCUUCCACUUCACCCACCCUGACUGAGAUCUUGAGACUGAAGGAAACCCAAAGCCGUACCACCAAUGGGCCUAGUGUCAUCAACCGGGAGAGGAAAAAGAAAACUGGGCCCAGAGGAUUGCAGAGUUAUGAGGGACCAACCCCUUCCUGGCUGCAUGGAUCACAGCAUUACCUUUUAAAAGUGUUCCAGUAGCUGUGUUGGAAACCCUCUAACCACGGCAGCCCAUUCAGGUGAUGAACAGGCUGAAAUCAGUACUUCAGGUUCAGCUGGAUUAUCAAAUAAGCGAAUAGGAUUAUCUCUUUUUGUUAACUCAGGGCUGCUAUAAAUUAAGCCUAUGUCUCUUUAUAUUGCAAAUGAUUAAAACCAUGUCCAAGAGAGACAUACUUAGAAAAAAAGUGAUAUUGAAGAAAAAUAAGUAACUGUAUUAGAGUAGAAUAACUGGUUUUAAAAUUUUCUGCAAUACAGUCUUGAGAAAAUUCCUGGAUGGUAAAAUACAUAUUAGAUCUUAAUACAUGCCCAGUUUUUUUUGAAACCAAAAUGUGCCUGUUAGAUGAUGAUAACAGCAUGCCUCGUUUUAUUGUGAUUUGCUUUAUUGCUCUUCACAGACAUUGCUUUUGUUUUUUUGUUUUUUUUUUUUACAAAUUGAAGGUUUGUGGCAACCUUGCCUCAAGCACAUCUAUUGGUGCCAUUUUUCCAACAGCAUGUGCUCACUUUGUGUCUCUGUGUCACAUAAUAUUCAAUAAUUUUUGCAAUAUUUAAAUUUGUUCAUCAUUAUUAUAUCUGGUAUAGUGCUUUGUGAUCAAUGAUCUUUGAUGUUACUAUGGUAAUUGUUUUGGGGUGCUGAUAUGGUUUGGCUGUGUCCCCACCCAAAUCUCAACUUGAACUGUAUCUCCCAGAAUUCCCACGUGUUGAGGGAGAGACCUAGGGGGAGAUAAUUGAAUCAUGGGGGCCAGUCUUUCCUGUGCUAUUCUCAUGAUAGUGAAUAAGUCUCAUGAAAUCCGAUGGGUUUAUCUGGGGUUUCUGAUUUUGCUUCUUCCUCAUUUUUCUCUUGCUGCAGCCAUGUAAGCAAGUACCUUUCACCUCCCGCCAUGAUUCUGAGGCCUCCCCCGCCAUGUGGAACUGUAGGUCCAAUUAAACUUCUUUUUCUUCCCAGUCUCGGGUAUGUCUUUAUCAGCACCAUGAAAAUGGACUAAUACAGGUGCCAUGUACUGCACUCAUAUAGAAAGGCAAACUUAAUUAAUAAAUGUUAUGUGUGUUCUGACUACUCCACCAACUGCCCAUUUCCCCACACUUCUCCCCCUUGGGCCUCCCUAUUUCCCAAUAAACAGCAAUAUUGAAAUUAGGCCAAUUAUUAACCCUACAAUGGCUUUGAAGGAAAUCAAAAUAUUUUACCCCAAAAUAUACUACUUUGACAUAUUUUGAGAUGACUGUUUAGAGGGCCUGCAAUCAGAAGUAGCCUUUGCAGGCCAGAUGUGGUGGCUCACGCUUGUAAUCCCAAGACUUUGGGAGGCUGAGGCCAGCGGAUUGCUUGAGCCCAGGAGAUCGCGACCAGCCUGAGCAACAUAUUGAGAUCCCAUCACUACAAAAAAUAAAAAUUUAAACAUGUACCAGUCAUAAUGGUACAUGCCUUUAGUCCUAGCUACUCAUGAGGGAGGCUGAGGUGGGACGAUCACUUGAUCCCAGGAGUUCAAGGCCACAUUAAGCCAUGAUCAUGCUACUGUACUCCAGCCUGGCUGAUAGAGCAAGACCCUGUCUCAAAAAAAAAAAAAAAAAAAAAGUAGCCCAGUAGCCCUGCAAAACUGUCUCUUGUAGGGCAGAUUUGCAUCUGUGGAGAAUCUGCAUUAAUGUAGCCAGGCUUUCUCUGAGGCCCUUCCUUGUCCAGAUCUAGGAAAGAUUUACUGAGAUUCUGACACUUUUAAAGGUCUGAAAGAAACUUCCACCAUCUAUUCUCUCUGAGGGCUGCUACCCACCUUUGUUAGUCAGGCCUCUGCUUCUGUCCCUCCCGUAACUUGUUUUGCCACUAUAACCUGAUUUACCACCAUAAUCUAUUUUUGGCCAUGCUUGGAGCUCUCAUUCUUUGUAAAGAUGGUAUACCCUUCUGUACUACAUGGGGGAUAAGAGUAAUCACCCUGUGAUUUCUCCUCAUGUACACUAAUAAAUUUCUAUGCCUUUUUUCUUUUCUUUCUUUUUUUUUUAUUUAUUUUUUUUUUAGUUAGGGUCUCUCUCUAGAAGGAGUGCAGUCGCAUGAUCAUGGCUCACUGUAGCCUUGACCUCCAAGGUCCUCCUGCCUCAGCCUC